AACAUCUCAGCAAUUCCUUCCAAUCUGAAGUUCUCUCAUCUGCUGGUAACCGGUCCAUUCCUAUUGGCGUUCAAGCAAUCACAAACACAUCCUACUUUUGAGAAAUGGUUCCAAAGGAGGAGUCAAAGCGGCUGUAAUCUUGAUUCGGUUUUAUGGGCAAUAGAAUUAUUUUACUGAUUCCUGGAAUCAUGGCUCCUAUACAUGCUGCACUCUAUGAGCACUUUGGAAAUUAAAGGAUUGCCAGCUUUUCCACUUUGGGACAAAAAA
RNAcentral lists this long non-coding RNA (267 nucleotides) under Homo sapiens (human). RNAcentral's name for it is "non-protein coding lnc-HLTF-2:2". The record is from RNAcentral. Lineage: Eukaryota; Metazoa; Chordata; Mammalia; Primates; Hominidae.